Molecule: long non-coding RNA, 363 nt
Organism: Homo sapiens (human)
Lineage: Eukaryota; Metazoa; Chordata; Mammalia; Primates; Hominidae
Exons: 2
Source: RefSeq, a predicted model, not a curated record
UAUGUGUUUGGACAAGGUCUCUUUGGAUGCUUCCUCUUAAAGGUAGUGAUCCCUUUGGACAACUAAGGAAUCAUUGAUCUAGGAGUAAAAAAGGAGCUGUUGCCUGCAUCGCAGCCACCGAGCAUGGAGAGAUUCCCCUGUGGAUACUUACCCAACAGAACUCAAGUAUUGGUUGCAGCCUGAGCCCUGGGCAAAGAUCAGCUGUGAGAUCGCAGAGUUUCUUUAUUAAAGAACAAAUCAUGCUGGACAAACUUGAUUGCUUUUUGGAUCAGCUUGUGAAAUGAGGAGGGCUUAGCGAACGUAGCCGAUCACAGUAUCUGGGGUGUUUAGUGAGUUAUUUAAUAAAGCACUCUGGAAAUUGUA